CCAGCUUGCUGGGCGGAUUAGUGGCGAACGGGUGAGUAAUACGUGAGUAACCUGCCCUUGACUCUGGGAUAAGCCUGGGAAACUGGGUCUAAUACUGGAUACUACCGUCCACCGCAUGGUGGGUGGUGGAAAGGGUUUUACUGGUUUUGGAUGGGCUCACGGCCUAUCAGCUUGUUGGUGGGGUAAUGGCUCACCAAGGCGACGACGGGUAGCCGGCCUGAGAGGGUGACCGGCCACACUGGGACUGAGACACGGCCCAGACUCCUACGGGAGGCAGCAGUGGGGAAUAUUGCACAAUGGGCGGAAGCCUGAUGCAGCGACGCCGCGUGAGGGAUGACGGCCUUCGGGUUGUAAACCUCUUUCAGUAGGGAAGAAGCGAGAGUGACGGUACCUGCAGAAGAAGCGCCGGCUAACUACGUGCCAGCAGCCGCGGUAAUACGUAGGGCGCAAGCGUUGUCCGGAAUUAUUGGGCGUAAAGAGCUCGUAGGCGGUUUGUCGCGUCUGCUGUGAAAGCCCGGGGCUCAACCCCGGGUCUGCAGUGGGUACGGGCAGACUAGAGUGCAGUAGGGGAGACUGGAAUUCCUGGUGUAGCGGUGAAAUGCGCAGAUAUCAGGAGGAACACCGAUGGCGAAGGCAGGUCUCUGGGCUGUUACUGACGCUGAGGAGCGAAAGCAUGGGGAGCGAACAGGAUUAGAUACCCUGGUAGUCCAUGCCGUAAACGUUGGGCACUAGGUGUGGGGGACAUUCCACGUUUUCCGCGCCGUAGCUAACGCAUUAAGUGCCCCGCCUGGGGAGUACGGCCGCAAGGCUAAAACUCAAAGGAAUUGACGGGGGCCCGCACAAGCGGCGGAGCAUGCGGAUUAAUUCGAUGCAACGCGAAGAACCUUACCAAGGCUUGACAUUCACCGGACCGCCCCAGAGAUGGGGUUUCCCUUCGGGGCUGGUGGACAGGUGGUGCAUGGUUGUCGUCAGCUCGUGUCGUGAGAUGUUGGGUUAAGUCCCGCAACGAGCGCAACCCUCGUUCUAUGUUGCCAGCACGUGAUGGUGGGGACUCAUAGGAGACUGCCGGGGUCAACUCGGAGGAAGGUGGGGAUGACGUCAAAUCAUCAUGCCCCUUAUGUCUUGGGCUUCACGCAUGCUACAAUGGCCGGUACAAAGGGUUGCGAUACUGUGAGGUGGAGCUAAUCCCAAAAAGCCGGUCUCAGUUCGGAUUGAGGUCUGCAACUCGACCUCAUGAAGUCGGAGUCGCUAGUAAUCGCAGAUCAGCAACGCUGCGGUGAAUACGUUCCCGGGCCUUGUACACACCGCCCGUCAAGUCACGAAAGUUGGUAACACCCGAAGCCGGUGGCC
Molecule: ribosomal RNA, 1350 nt
Filed under: Kocuria sp.
Lineage: Bacteria; Bacillati; Actinomycetota; Actinomycetes; Micrococcales; Micrococcaceae
Description: bacterial SSU rRNA
Rfam family: Bacterial small subunit ribosomal RNA
Source: RNAcentral